Molecule: unclassified non-coding RNA, 504 nt
Filed under: Hevea brasiliensis (rubber tree)
Lineage: Eukaryota; Viridiplantae; Streptophyta; Magnoliopsida; Malpighiales; Euphorbiaceae
Source: RNAcentral
AAAAGCCAACGCGAGUAUCUCCCUCGCUCUGCAGUCGGUUGCUCUCACGCUACAGCUCUCUCUCUCUCUCAGGACCGACUCUCCUUUUAUCUCUCCACUGGUAUUUACAUGGCGAGGCCUUUGUCAAAUAUAAUGUUGAAGGGCAUCGCAGGUCUCUCUGCAGUGCGGUCUACUAGAACUGUUUUUGGAUCCUUUAGUUGCAAUGGAAUGAGAUAUUCAACUACUGUCCCCAGUGAUCCUGAUACACAUGAAGAUUUUCAGCCAAAUAAUAAGCUUGAGAGUUCUGGAAUGUCUUUGAAAGAUAUUGUUGAACAGGAUGUAAAGGACAAUCCAGUGAUGAUUUACAUGAAGGGGGUGCCUGAUCUUCCUCAAUGUGGAUUCAGUGCCCUGGCAGUAAGAGUGCUGAAACAGUACAAUAUUCCCUUGAGUGCAAGAAACAUUUUGGAGGAUCCUGAUCUGAAAAGUGCUGUAAAAUCAUUUAGCAAUUGGCCCACAUUUCCACAG